This 232-nucleotide long non-coding RNA is filed under the name Homo sapiens (human). Its description in RNAcentral is "HSALNT0299401". Lineage: Eukaryota; Metazoa; Chordata; Mammalia; Primates; Hominidae. The record is from RNAcentral.
GGCGCACCAGGGGCCUGGCGACAAGACGACACGCCGCGGAAAAGCCACUGAGGACACGAGAAGAAGGCAGCCAUCCCCAAGCAGGAAGAGACACUCCACAGGAACUGAACUUGCCACCACCCUGAUCUCGAACUUCUAGUUUCCGUAACUAUGAGACAGAGGUAUUGAUUCUCCAAUGUUGCCUCUGCUCUGUGGAAAAGAACUUCAGGGACCCAAGAAUAUAGAACCUCAC